Non-coding RNA from Electrophorus electricus (electric eel), 211 nucleotides. The record is from RefSeq and is a predicted model, not a curated record. NCBI's taxonomy places the organism in Eukaryota, Metazoa, Chordata, Actinopteri, Gymnotiformes, Gymnotidae.
AGGGUCCAGAAGGUACAGGAAUACCUGGUCUCCAAGGUCCAAAGGGUGACAGAGGCCCACCUGGUGUACCUGGAACGAAGGGCAUCAAGCUAUAUGCAACAGGACUCAAGGAGCUCAAAGGGGAUCCUGGGGAUCCUGGAAAUCCAGGAUGGCCUGGAAAUCCAGGCACAUGGGGAGAGGACGGUCGCAAAGGGAAAAAAGGAGACCGAGG